This 793-nucleotide ribosomal RNA is filed under the name uncultured bacterium. Its description in RNAcentral is "bacterial SSU rRNA". It matches the Rfam family "Bacterial small subunit ribosomal RNA", at positions 8 to 796 of the family's 1533-position model. The record is from RNAcentral.
AGAGUUUGAUCCUGGCUCAGAUUGAACGCUGGCGGCAGGCCUAACACAUGCAAGUCGAGCGGAUGAGUGGAGCUUGCUCCAUGAUUCAGCGGCGGACGGGUGAGUAAUGCCUAGGAAUCUGCCUGGUAGUGGGGGACAACGUUUCGAAAGGAACGCUAAUACCGCAUACGUCCUACGGGAGAAAGCAGGGGACCUUCGGGCCUUGCGCUAUCAGAUGAGCCUAGGUUGGAUUAGCUAGUUGGUGAGGUAAAGACUCACCAAGGCGACGAUCCGUAACUGGUCUGAGAGGAUGACCAGUCACACUGGAACUGAGACACGGUCCAGACUCCUACGGGAGGCAGCAGUGGGGAAUAUUGGACAAUGGGCGAAAGCCUGAUCCAGCCAUGCCGCGUGUGUGAAGAAGGUCUUCGGAUUGUAAAGCACUUUAAGUUGGGAGGAAGGGCAGUAAGCUAAUACCUUGCUGUUUUGACGUUACCGACAGAAUAAGCACCGGCUAACUUCGUGCCAGCAGCCGCGGUAAUACGAAGGGUGCAAGCGUUAAUCGGAAUUACUGGGCGUAAAGCGCGCGUAGGUGGUUCAGCAAGUUGGAUGUGAAAGCCCCGGGCUCAACCUGGGAACUGCAUCCAAAACUACUGAGCUAGAGUACGGUAGAGGGUGGUGGAAUUUCCUGUGUAGCGGUGAAAUGCGUAGAUAUAGGAAGGAACACCAGUGGCGAAGGCGACCACCUGGACUGAUACUGACACUGAGGUGCGAAAGCGUGGGGAGCAAACAGGAUUAGAUACCCCGGUAGUCC